Ctenocephalides felis (cat flea) is the source of this 555-nucleotide long non-coding RNA. RefSeq lists it as uncharacterized. The record is from RefSeq and is a predicted model, not a curated record. The transcript is spliced from 4 exons. Lineage: Eukaryota; Metazoa; Arthropoda; Insecta; Siphonaptera; Pulicidae.
GGAUUACGUUUUCUAAAAAGUUAGCUCUUUGGACCCCAUUGGAAACGGAUAAAAGAAGCAGAAAAAAUAAAAGUGUCUGAGUGUCAAAAAAAUGUUCUUCAGUUCCAGAAUUUUGGCUUCUUAUGCACAGUCGAGAAGUCUGACAGAAGCGGAGAUGCACUUAUUGUUAGAUGAAGCAAACAACAAUGAAGAAAUAUAUGAAUUCCAUAUGACUGAAUAAAUAUGAUGAAAGGAAUAAGCAAACGUUAUACUCUCAUCAUGUAAUCAGAGUAAGAAUCAAUGCUUUAUUUUGUCAGUUCCGUCACCUAUGACUGAUUACAUUCACCGAGGAAGCUGUUGUAUAAGUGAUAUCAGUACCGAGAAAAUGUGGUACUUCAUUAUAUGUGAAUAAAGUAAAUGAUGCAGAAUUUUUUGAGAGCAGUUGACUAAAGAUAUUAUCCAGACAGGAGCGAGAAGAAAGUGCAAAUUUUGUGACAAGCUGACUCGAGAAAUCGAUAGAGAUUAUCGAGUUUUUAAAAAUUGUGCUCAUGCCUAACAAAGUGUUAUUUCGCAGAC